UACGGAGGGUGCAAGCGUUAUCCGGAUUCACUGGGUUUAAAGGGUGCGUAGGUGGGUCUGUAAGUCAGUGGUGAAAUCUCCAAGCUUAACUUGGAAACUGCCAUUGAUACUAUGGGUCUUGAAUAUCCUGGAGGUGAGCGGAAUAUGUCAUGUAGCGGUGAAAUGCUUAGAUAUGACAUAGAACACCAAUGCGAAGGCAGCUCACUACGGGAUUAUUGACACUGAGGCACGAAAGCGUGGGGGAGUCAAA
RNAcentral lists this ribosomal RNA (250 nucleotides) under uncultured bacterium. RNAcentral's name for it is "partial 16S ribosomal RNA". It matches the Rfam family "Bacterial small subunit ribosomal RNA", at positions 524 to 773 of the family's 1533-position model. The record is from RNAcentral.